UAGGAGAUAGUAUAUAAGGAAGUACUGAAAGUUUUGGGCUUUCUGGUCCAAGUUCGAGUCUUGGUCUUCUAG
Molecule: transfer RNA, 72 nt
Filed under: Malayopython reticulatus (reticulated python)
Lineage: Eukaryota; Metazoa; Chordata; Lepidosauria; Squamata; Pythonidae
Description: tRNA-Gln
Source: RNAcentral